This 89-nucleotide non-coding RNA is filed under the name Ilyobacter polytropus. RNAcentral's name for it is "SAM-I sequence". It matches the Rfam family "SAM riboswitch aptamer (S box leader)". Rfam says of the family: The SAM riboswitch is found upstream of a number of genes which code for proteins involved in methionine or cysteine biosynthesis in Gram-positive bacteria. RNAcentral also lists the same sequence under 1 other name. Lineage: Bacteria; Fusobacteriati; Fusobacteriota; Fusobacteriia; Fusobacteriales; Fusobacteriaceae. The record is from RNAcentral.
UACUUAUCAAGAGAGGUGGAGGGACUGGCCCUUUGAAACCUCAGCAACCUGCCGUAAGGGGUGUGGUGCUAAUUCCAGCGAGAUGAGGC